UGGGAAAACCUGAUGCCAAGUUCCAUUCAGCAGAGGAAGAGGAGCUCCCCUAGUUACAUUCAGGUGGACAUUGCCUCCAUGUUUCAGCAGCAGAGCUACGAUAUCUUUUCGGCCUUGCUUGGCUGCUUCAUGCAUUGCUGACCAUCGCUUGACACAGGGCUGGUCUAGGCUAGUGUUAUGUUUGAUCAGAGUCGACACCAUGUCAUAGGAGCCCUUUUUCACAGCUUGAAAAUGAUUGUUAAAAACAACGGAAGAAGAGACAGAUUUGGAUCUCACUCGUAGAGUUUAUGGCCUAGAGAAGAAGCCUAUGCUGCCUUCUAUUUAAAGAGAGACUCAAAGUCUGGGCCUGUACUGGGAAACGUAGAAGAAGAUAUGAGGCCACAUGGAACAUUCUGGGGUAACCAGGAGGCAGAACGCAGAAAGGAUCUAAAGCCAAGGCAAGGAAAGCAGCUCCCAAUGUGGUAAUGGGAGGAUGAAGACGAACUUUGCCUACUUCAUUUGGGAGCAGGCAAGCCAUCCCUGCAGGAGAUGCCCGUUUUUCUCCCUCUCCUUGUCUAAAGUAGAACCUGUUGACAAAUGCCUCUCUCUGAAUUGCCCAACUGUCACUGGCAGCUCUAAUUACAGUGAAUUACCUCAUGCUAGCUGGUGUUAUUGGUUAAGGGAUUCUGAAUAGCAAAUCUCAAAGAAGACCAUAGAUUCAAGAACAAACUGAGGAAGUGCCAUGAAUAAUCCAUUUUCCUAUAAAACCUAAGAAGACUUGGCAUGGGUUCCACAACAAAGGUGCUGAUUAAGCUACAGAAGCCCCAAGUAUUUAGCUGGCCACAGACCAUCCAGGUAGACAAUAAAUGUCCUGGCCUCCGUUGCCCCAAGGUGUGGUGGCAUUGUGACAAAAUCUGAACUAAUGGGACAUGAGUGGAAGGGCCGUGUGCACUGUCCCGGUCAUCUUUUUAAAUUGAAGAUGCUUGCCUAGGGCUUCCUCUUUAGUCCUUCCUGCUGCCUGGAAAAUGGCGACGUUGGGAGCAACUUUGGAAGCACACUGUAAUGUUGAUACAGCCACCCUCACAACCCUGGGCCAUUCUGCAAUGUGUGAGAGAGAAAUGACUUCUUUCUCUUUAGCAGAAACAUCUGCUAGCAUACCAGGGUUGUGAAUGCCUUCCAGGAAGCUCUGAAGUUCUAAAGCUUGUUGGAGCUCAAAAGCAACAAUUUUUAAACACUGGAUCUCUUCAAAAGUACUACUAAAUUCCAGAAUACAAGAUUUUAAACACUAUAACAAAAAGUAAAGUAAUGACUGCAGUUGGGCUUAUAAGAAUUCACUUUUUCCUGAGCUUCUGAUUGAUGCCAAUUUUGGUCCAUCAGUGGUUGGAUAAUUUCAAACUCUAUACCUGCUAACAUCCAAGGUCUCUAACCUGUGGACAGACUGCGCAUGAACUCAAUGGCAAUAUUAUGAUUAAUUGUUCAUUGUUCUAUAUCAGUGGCCUUAAUAUCACCUCAGAACAAAAGAAUGUAACUCAGUAAAAGCAGGGAAUUAGUCUGUGAUCUCAGUGCCAAGAGAAGCGUCAUCUCCAGGAAGUUCCCUAGCUUCCUGUUUGGUAUCUCUAAUGACAGUAGGGUGAAAAUGAUCGGAACACUUUCUAUGCAGAACAACGCCAAUCUAGCACAGGUGUCUCCAGCCUUUUCCUGAAAGCUUGAGAUGAAGUGAAGAUCUGCAUGCAGGUGUACUAAGGUGCCAGACAGUCAGUCAAAGGAGCAUUACUGGAAUGGACUUAAAGACGUCAAGACACAAUGAUAAAGGCAAGAGGAGAGUAACUUAUUUAUCUAAACCUCACAUAAAUGACUGAAAAUCAAACAACUGAAAACAUGAGCCAAAUCUAUUAGCACUGAACUCCUCCAACAGCACUGAUGUCACAGGCCCCUGGAAGAAUCCACGUUGUUGACAUUACUCUGGUCAUUUAGUUGCCAUGUAGCCAAGCAAAGAGAUGGGGUUUGACCUUGUUGUCCAGGCUGGUUUCAAACUCCUGAGUUCGAGCAAUCUACCCACCCUUCAAAGUGUUGGGAUCACAGGUGACUCUUAGAAUCAUCUAGUCAAAAUGGAAUUGUGACUGUAAGUGCACUAAGAAAAGAUCCCUUUGGGAAGAAUGAACUUAUUUUGACAAAUAUGUUCAAUAUUUUUACAUAUUUAAAAUAUUGACUCUCACCCAGGAA
RNAcentral lists this long non-coding RNA (2202 nucleotides) under Homo sapiens (human). Its description in RNAcentral is "long non-coding RNA NONHSAT213933.1". The record is from RNAcentral. Lineage: Eukaryota; Metazoa; Chordata; Mammalia; Primates; Hominidae.